This 585-nucleotide ribosomal RNA is filed under the name uncultured bacterium. RNAcentral's name for it is "bacterial SSU rRNA". It matches the Rfam family "Bacterial small subunit ribosomal RNA", at positions 61 to 638 of the family's 1533-position model. The record is from RNAcentral.
GUCGAGGGGCAGCGGGGUAGUGCUUGCACUACUGCCGGCGACCGGCGCACGGGUGAGUAACACGUAUGGAACCUGCCCGCAGCAGGGGGAUAAGCGGAAGAAAUUCCGUCUAAUACCGCGUAACAACGUUGGGAGGCAUCUCCCGAUGUUUAAAGAUUUAUCGGCUGCGGAUGGCCAUGCGGCGCAUUAGCUAGUCGGCGGGGUAACGGCCCACCGAGGCGACGAUGCGUAGGGGUUCUGAGAGGAAGGUCCCCCACACUGGUACUGAGACACGGACCAGACUCCUACGGGAGGCAGCAGUGAGGAAUAUUGGUCAAUGGCCGAGAGGCUGAACCAGCCAAGUCGCGUGAGGGAAGACGGCCCUACGGGUUGUAAACCUCUUUUGUCGGGGAGCAAAGAGAGCCACGUGUGGCUCAUUGAGAGUACCCGAAGAAAAAGCACCGGCUAACUCCGUGCCAGCAGCCGCGGUAAUACGGAGGAUGCGAGCGUUAUCCGGAUUUAUUGGGUUUAAAGGGUGCGCAGGCGGAGGUGCAAGUCAGCGGUCAAAUUGCGGGGCUCAACCCCGUACUGCCGUUGAAACUGCAU